RNAcentral lists this long non-coding RNA (1987 nucleotides) under Oryzias javanicus (javanese ricefish). RNAcentral's name for it is "lncRNA (ENSOJAG00000009930.1)". Lineage: Eukaryota; Metazoa; Chordata; Actinopteri; Beloniformes; Adrianichthyidae. The record is from RNAcentral.
CGUAAAGACAUGAAUUAAUUAGUGUUUUCUCUGAGCCUCCUGUCGGACCGCUUCUGGCAAACUCCCAGCGGGCAACUUCCAACUGACUGUUAAUUUAGUUUUGCUGCGCCUCCUUCUCAGACACGAUGCCCUGAAGCUGGGGAAGCACUUCGCUCAGGAGACCAACUGCUCCGUGAGCGACUUCGUCUGCCUGCUGUCUCUCAGUCCACAGGCCAUCCUGACUGCGCAGAUGAAAACCAGUAGGGCGCCACGCACCCCGUCAUCAAAGCAGCACUCAAUUCGACAUGUUUAUCUGCAACAAACAUUUACUGGAAAACAUGUACAGGCCACUCAAAAAUGUGUAUGAUUCAUGUGGGUUUUGGAUUUAUGUCUCAGACUUUAUAAUGCGGCAAUGAAAAACUUCUUUCUGGUCAUAUUACAAAGUUUGGAACAACUCAUUGAUAAACCUCAUUUUAAAUUGUUAAUUUCAUUAAUUAAAAGCCAAUUUAACAUUGAAUUUAAAUAUGAAUUAAAAAGCACACAUACUUAACUCUCUGCCCUCUAUUGAUAACUUUCUGUUUCACAACAUAAUAUAAACAUUACUGUCUCAAAUGUUUUCACUAUGCAAGAUUUGAUGCUGUCUAAAUAUACACGAAUCUAUUUAGUUUUCUUGGUUUGGCUGCACUAUACUUUCAUGUCUGGUUCUAUCUCAGGCGCCAAGAUUGUGAAUCCGUUUCGGUUUCUGGAGGUUUUUGAAACGUGGGGUCCAUUUAUCGACGAGGAGCUGAUCAAAGAGCAGCCAAUCACGGCCUUCCAGAAGGGCCACUGGCAAAAUGAGAAGUCGGUGCUGAUGGGUACAACCUCAGAGGAAGGGGUGCUCUUCGUGUUCGGGGUUUUUAACAAACCAGUUUCUGCCUUGGAGAGCGUGGUCUACAUCACUGCUAUCUUCAAACAGCACGCUCUGAGGGUCCUGCACAAAUACCUGCCCCUGUACAGAGACCCCGACCGCAGGACCAUGCUGGCUCAGAUUGUCACCGAUUAUGUGUUCCUGUGUCCAUCCAGGAGGUCGGCGCGGGCCGGCACAGUAGCUGGCAGCCACCUGUGGAUGUACACGUUCGACCACGUGGCGUCGGACCACAGCGUGUGGUCGGGUCUCACGUUCUGCUACCAGCAUGUCUGCCACGGGGCGGAGCUGCCCUUCCUCUUUGACUCCGCCCAAGUGGCCAACUACACUCUGUCCCUUGCGCAGAGAAGCUGCUGUCCAAUCGGAUGCUGUGCUACUGGGGAGCCUUCACCCACACAGGUGACCCGUCCUCCCGGCUUCAGCAGACGACCUUCUGCCGGGAGCAACGUCUGCCAGUUUGGCCGCAAUACUCUGACCCCAGGGGGUGGCUCGUCAUGAACCUGACGGUGCAGUUACAUGCACAGGUGGAAACCAGAGGACACAUAUGUGACUUCUGGGACCAGCUUGGAAUCUACUAAAGCAAAAACAACCUGGGCUUUUAUACAUUAGAUAUUGUACUUGUAUCUGUAUUUUUAUUUUUAUUUUUUUGGUGAAAAUUAGAAAAAAAAAUGUAUUCUUACUCUAUUAAAUUUAGUGGAUGAUUUUAUACAUUUGUAUUUAACUUUCUUUUUACUUAGCAGAUCAAUCUUUACUUGACCUGUGUGAUAAACACAAGCUUUUCCUGUCUUUAACUGGCAAGUUCUGUGCUUCACAGAGCUAGUCUAGAGUGAAACUGUUUAUGAUGGAAAAUGUUUAGGACAAAGCCUGGGCUCUGAAUAAAAUACACAUUAAAAAAAUAUUGUUAUCCAAGACGACAUAAAAAAUACAUCAAUUACAAAAUAAAAAAUGAAUCCCAAGGUUUUUUUUUUGUUGGUAGUUUUAUUCGUCAAAUUUGAUGGCUUCUAAUUUCCAGACAGAUUCCUUUCUUUAAUGAGAGGUGAAAACAGUUUCUGUAGCUCUCCACCUGGCGAGGCUAACAGUAACACAGAUUUUUAAAAAAGCGAC